Mustela lutreola (European mink) is the source of this 930-nucleotide long non-coding RNA. RefSeq lists it as uncharacterized. The transcript is spliced from 2 exons. The record is from RefSeq and is a predicted model, not a curated record. Lineage: Eukaryota; Metazoa; Chordata; Mammalia; Carnivora; Mustelidae.
CCCCAAACCCAGGAAGGACUACGGACUUUUCCCAGGCAGAAGGUGCAGCAGGAGUUGAGCGAGCUCCUCUGCGGCAGCGAGCGAGCGCCUCAGGGGCUGCUGCCCGGAUCCAGAGCCUAGGAACACAGGUCCGGGGUCCUGUGCCUCCAAGGCCCCGGGGCUUGGGGGUGGGGCGGACGGGGUUCGCUCUGCCCAGCCGGGGCUUGGGCUGGGGGCCGAGCACACGGUCGGGCUUGGCUGCGCUCCGCCCCGGGAAGCACCCGCUCCCCCUGCCGGAAUCCCGGGAAUGUCGCUGGUCGGGAAGCAGCUGGACCGCCUCUGGGCAGAGGGAGAGGUCGAACCUGGAAUUUCUCGGGCGCUUUUGCACAAUAUCCCCCCAAGCGUUUCAGUCCCGUGAAGUAGAAGUCCACGGAGCGGGGGGUGUGAGAAGGAAGCGGCCUACUUCUCCGGGAAGACUUAGUCGCGGCAAAGGCCCCAGCUCGUAGCCCCUAUAAAUGGCUCUUCCUGGCUCGAAAGAUCCCUUCUUUGUGUCUGAGGGAGGAAGCCCUUCCCCGCUUGGAAACCGACAGGGCCACCCCGGGGCAGGCGUUUCCAGCUGGAUUGUCGCCAUCUCGUGGCAGGAUUGGGUGGCCACACUGGAACCUGGGCCAGCCCGCCAUGCGUGCAACUUUCUUGGGUCUCCAGGUGCUUGUGUCUUCCUAAAGGCAACCAAGUGUUACCUGGAGAAUCCAGGAGAGAGCAGUUGCCUUCCUGAGGGGCUCUGCCACCUGAGGCACGAUGAGCAACUUGAACAAGGCGCCAAUCCCCCACCAAUUUCCCAUGAUACAAACUAAUGAUUAAGAAGACAGAGACGCACUCUGUCUUGUUCCCAGUGGUUAGUAAUGUUAUUAUACUUGAUGAGUAUUAUUAAAGGACCCCUGUUAUUAAAGA